RNAcentral lists this non-coding RNA (66 nucleotides) under unclassified sequences. RNAcentral describes it as "DUF3800-VIII RNA". It matches the Rfam family "DUF3800-VIII RNA". From Rfam's summary of the family: Bacteroidetes, Cyanobacteria, Firmicutes, Planctomycetes (1 example), Proteobacteria, Tenericutes (1 example). The record is from Rfam by way of RNAcentral.
AUAGCCCUGCAAAUCCGAAGCCCUAAGUUCCUACUUAGGAGGUUGAGGUAGGAAAUGCGGGGCUAA